RNAcentral lists this ribosomal RNA (500 nucleotides) under uncultured copper smeltery bacterium D93. RNAcentral's name for it is "bacterial SSU rRNA". It matches the Rfam family "Bacterial small subunit ribosomal RNA", at positions 8 to 483 of the family's 1533-position model. The record is from RNAcentral.
AGAGUUUGAUCAUGGCUCAGAAUCAACGCUGGCGGCGUGCCUCAGACAUGCAAGUCGAACGCGAAAGGCCCCUUCGGGGGCCGAGUAGAGUGGCGUCCGGGUGAGUAACACGUAGGUAAUCUACCUUCGGGUGGGGAAUAACAGCCGGAAACGGCUGCUAAUACCGCAUAAUGCAGCGGCACCACAUGGUGACAGUUGUUAAAGCGGGGGAACAGCAAUGUCCUCGCGCCUGAAGAGGAGCCUGCGGCGGAUUAGCUAGUUGGCGGGGUAACGGCCCACCAAGGCAACGAUCCGUAGCCGGCCUGAGAGGGCGGUCGGCCACACUGGCACUGACACACGGGCCAGACUCCUACGGGAGGCAGCAGUCGGGAAUUUUGGGCAAUGGGCGAAAGCCUGACCCAGCAACGCCGCGUGAAGGAUGAAGCUUCUCGGAGUGUAAACUUCAUAAGAAUGGGACGAAUAAGAAAGGGCUAAUACCCCUUUUGAUGACGGUACCAUUG